RNAcentral lists this ribosomal RNA (730 nucleotides) under uncultured bacterium. RNAcentral's name for it is "bacterial SSU rRNA". It matches the Rfam family "Bacterial small subunit ribosomal RNA", at positions 771 to 1501 of the family's 1533-position model. The record is from RNAcentral.
AACAGGAUUAGAUACCCUGGUAGUCCACGCCGUAAACGAUGUCGACUUGGAGGUUGUGCCCUUGAGGCGUGGCUUCCGGAGCUAACGCGUUAAGUCGACCGCCUGGGGAGUACGGCCGCAAGGUUAAAACUCAAAUGAAUUGACGGGGGCCCGCACAAGCGGUGGAGCAUGUGGUUUAAUUCGAUGCAACGCGAAGAACCUUACCUACUCUUGACAUCCAGAGAACUUAGCAGAGAUGCUUUGGUGCCUUCGGGAACUCUGAGACAGGUGCUGCAUGGCUGUCGUCAGCUCGUGUUGUGAAAUGUUGGGUUAAGUCCCGCAACGAGCGCAACCCUUAUCCUUUGUUGCCAGCGGUUCGGCCGGGAACUCAAAGGAGACUGCCAGUGAUAAACUGGAGGAAGGUGGGGAUGACGUCAAGUCAUCAUGGCCCUUACGAGUAGGGCUACACACGUGCUACAAUGGCAUAUACAAAGAGAAGCGACCUCGCGAGAGCAAGCGGACCUCAUAAAGUAUGUCGUAGUCCGGAUUGGAGUCUGCAACUCGACUCCAUGAAGUCGGAAUCGCUAGUAAUCGUGGAUCAGAAUGCCACGGUGAAUACGUUCCCGGGCCUUGUACACACCGCCCGUCGCACCAUGGGAGUGGGUUGCAAAAGAAGUAGGUAGCUUAACCUUCGGGAGGGCGCUUACCACUUUGUGAUUCAUGACUGGGGUGAAGUCGUAACAAGGUAACC